UUAAAGUAGUAAGGGCGCAGGGUGGAUGCCUUGGCACUAAGAGCCGAUGAAAGACGUGAUAAGCUGCGAAAAGCUUCGGGGAGGAGCACAUAUCCAAUGAUCCGGAGAUAUCUGAAUGGGGAAACCCGGCAGAGGAAACCUCUGUCAGCGUGCAGUGAAUACAUAGCUGUACGUGGGGAACCCGGGGAACUGAAACAUCUAAGUACCCGGAGGAAGAGAAAGAAAAUUUAUCGAUUUCCAAAGUAGCGGCGAGCGAAAUGGAAAGAGCCCAAACCGUGAUGCGUGCAUCGCGGGGUUCGGACUGCGUUGUGGCAGACGUAAGAUAGGAGAACGGACUGGGAAGUCCGGCCGGAGAGAGUGAAAGCCUCGUAUCCGAAAUCCCAAGUCGCCUAGCAGGAUCCAGAGUAGGACGAGACACGAGAAACCUUGUCUGAACGAGCGGGGACCACCCCGUAAGGCUAAAUACUUCUUAGUGACCGAUAGCGCAUAGUACUGUGAAGGAAAGGUGAAAAGUACCCCGGGAGGGGAGUGAAAGAGAACCUGAAACCCUGUGUCUACAAGCUGUGGGACCUCUUUAUAUGAGGGACUGCGUACUUUUUGUAGAACGGUCCGGCGAGUUGUGCGUACUGGCGAGGUUAAGGACUUAAGGUCUGGAGCCGAAGUGAAAGCAAGCGUUAAUAGCGCGUCAAGUCAGUGAGUGCAGACCCGAAACCGGGUGACCUAUCCAUGUCCAGGUUGAAGCUUCCGUAAGAGGAAGUGGAGGACCGAACCCACAUCCGUUGAAAAGGGUGGGGAUGAGGUGUGGAUAGCGGAGAAAUUCCAAUCGAACCCGGAGAUAGCUGGUUCUCCUCGAAAUAGCUUUAGGGCUAGCCUCAUGAGAGUCUUAUGGAGGUAGAGCACUGAAUUGCCUAGGGGGCGUCAAAGCUUACCAAAGCAUAUCAAACUCCGAAUGCCAUCAAGAUGAUUCAUGGGAGUCAGACCAUACGAGAUAAGUUGGAUGGUCAAAAGGGAAAGAGCCCAGACCUACAGCUAAGGUCCCAAAGUGCGUGUUAAGUGGAAAAGGAUGUGGGGAUUCUAAGACAACUAGGACGUUGGCUUAGAAGCAGCCAUUCAUUGAAAGAGUGCGUAAUAGCUCACUAGUCGAGAGUCCCUGCGCCGAAAAUGUCCGGGGCUGAAACACGACACCGAAGCUUAGGAAUGUGUAAACAUUGGUAGAGGAGCAUUGCUGGCGGGAUGAAGCCAUACCGUAAGGAGUGGUGGACUGCCAGGAAGAGAGAAUGCCGGAAUGAGUAGCGAGAUGAAGGUGAGAAUCCUUCAGGCCGAAUAUCUAAGGUUUCCAGAGUAAAGCUGAUCUGCUCUGGGUAAGUCGGGACCUAAGGCGAGGUCGAAAGACGUAGUCGAUGGAUAACAGGUUGAAAUUCCUGUACCGCAUAUAAACAGAACUGUGGGGACACAGACAGGGAAUGGAAUCCGGGAGUGGAGAUCCCGGUGCAAGCGAGGUAGGAGUGCUGUUGGCAAAUCCGCAGCACGAUCUGAAGACGUGACGCGUACCGAACAUAAGUAGGGAAGUCCAGGCCCCUGGCUGUCAAGAAAAGCCGCUAUUGUUUUAUAUGUGCCCGUACCGCAAACCGACACAGGUGGAUGAGGAGAGAAUCCUAAGGCCGACGGGAGAAGUAUUGUUAAGGAACUCGGCAAAAUGACUCCGUAACUUCGGGAGAAGGAGUGCCAUGAGAGUGGCCGCAGAGAAAUGGCCCAAGCAACUGUUUAGCAAAAACACAGGUCUAUGCAAAACCGCAAGGUGAAGUAUAUGGGCUGACGCCUGCCCGGUGCUGGAAGGUUAAGGGGAGAUGUCAGGAGACGAAGCAUCGAACUUAAGCCCCAGUAAACGGCGGCCGUAACUAUAACGGUCCUAAGGUAGCGAAAUUCCUUGUCGGGUAAGUUCCGACCC
This 1948-nucleotide ribosomal RNA is filed under the name human gut metagenome. Its description in RNAcentral is "bacterial LSU rRNA". It matches the Rfam family "Bacterial large subunit ribosomal RNA", at positions 1 to 1989 of the family's 2925-position model. The record is from RNAcentral.